RNAcentral lists this ribosomal RNA (253 nucleotides) under uncultured bacterium. RNAcentral describes it as "partial 16S ribosomal RNA". It matches the Rfam family "Bacterial small subunit ribosomal RNA", at positions 524 to 776 of the family's 1533-position model. The record is from RNAcentral.
GACGUAGGGCGCGAGCGUUGUCCGGAUUUAUUGGGCGUAAAGAGCUCGUAGGCGGCUUGUCGCGUCGGCUGUGAAAUCCCGUGGCUCAACUGCGGGUCUGCAGCCGAUACGGGCAGGCUAGAGUUCGGUAGGGGAGACUGGAAUUCCUGGUGUAGCGGUGAAAUGCGCAGAUAUCAGGAAGAACACCCGUGGCGAAGGCGGCUCUCUGGGACGUGACUGACGCUGAGACGCGAAAGCGUGGGGAGCGAACAGG